This 624-nucleotide ribosomal RNA is filed under the name uncultured Anaerolineaceae bacterium. RNAcentral describes it as "bacterial SSU rRNA". It matches the Rfam family "Bacterial small subunit ribosomal RNA", at positions 897 to 1533 of the family's 1533-position model. Lineage: Bacteria; Bacillati; Chloroflexota; Anaerolineae; Anaerolineales; Anaerolineaceae. The record is from RNAcentral.
AAACUCAAAUGAAUUGACGGGGGCCCGCACAAGCAGCGGAGCGUGUGGUUUAAUUCGAGGCUACACGAAGAACCUUACCUGGGUUUGACAUCACGGUGGUAGGGAACCGAAAGGGGACCGACCGCAAGGAGCCGUGACAGGUGCUGCAUGGCUGUCGUCAGCUCGUGUCGUGAGAUGUUCGGUUAAGUCCGAAAACGAGCGCAACCCUCGGGGGAAGUUACACGUGUCUGACCCGACUGCCUGCGAGAAGCAGGAGGAAGGUGGGGAUGACGUCAAGUCAGCAUGGCCUUUAUAUCCAGGGCUACACACACGCUACAAUGGGCAGUACAGUGGGAAGCGAAGCCGCGAGGCGGAGCGGAUCCAAAAAGCUGUUCUAAGUUCGGAUUGCAGGCUGCAACUCGCCUGCAUGAAGCUGGAGUUGCUAGUAACCGCAGGUCAGCGAUACUGCGGUGAAUACGUUCCCGGGCCUUGUACACACCGCCCGUCACGUCAUGGGAGCUGGUCACGCCUGAAGCCGAUGAGCGAACCGCAAGGGAGCAGUCGUCGAAGGCAGGGCUGGUGACUGGGACGAAGUCGUAACAAGGUAGCUGUAGCGGAAGCUGCGGCUGGAUCACCUCCUUUCUG